UAACGGGGCUAAACCAUGCACCGAAGCUGCGGCAGCGACGCUUAUGCGUUGUUGGGUAGGGGAGCGUUCUGUAAGCCUGCGAAGGUGUGCUGUGAGGCAUGCUGGAGGUAUCAGAAGUGCGAAUGCUGACAUAAGUAACGAUAAAGCGGGUGAAAAGCCCGCUCGCCGGAAGACCAAGGGUUCCUGUCCAACGUUAAUCGGGGCAGGGUGAGUCGACCCCUAAGGCGAGGCCGAAAGGCGUAGUCGAUGGGAAACAGGUUAAUAUUCCUGUACUUGGUGUUACUGCGAAGGGGGGACGGAGAAGGCUAUGUUGGCCGGGCGACGGUUGUCCCGGUUUAAGCGUGUAGGCUGGUUUUCCAGGCAAAUCCGGAAAAUCAAGGCUGAGGCGUGAUGACGAGGCACUACGGUGCUGAAGCAACAAAUGCCCUGCUUCCAGGAAAAGCCUCUAAGCAUCAGGUAACAUCAAAUCGUACCCCAAACCGACACAGGUGGUCAGGUAGAGAAUACCAAGGCGCUUGAGAGAACUCGGGUGAAGGAACUAGGCAAAAUGGUGCCGUAACUUCGGGAGAAGGCACGCUGAUAUGUAGGUGAAGUCCCUUGCGGAUGGAGCUGAAAUCAGUCGAAGAUACCAGCUGGCUGCAACUGUUUAUUAAAAACACAGCACUGUGCAAACACGAAAGUGGACGUAUACGGUGUGACGCCUGCCCGGUGCCGGAAGGUUAAUUGAUGGGGUCAGCGCAAGCGAAGCUCUUGAUCGAAGCCCCGGUAAACGGCGGCCGUAACUAUAACGGUCCUAAGGUAGCGAAAUUCCUUGUCGGGUAAGUUCCGACCUGCACGAAUGGCGUAAUGAUGGCCAGGCUGUCUCCACCCGAGACUCAGUGAAAUUGAACUCGCUGUGAAGAUGCAGUGUACCCGCGGCAAGACGGAAAGACCCCGUGAACCUUUACUAUAGCUUGACACUGAACAUUGAGCCUUGAUGUGUAGGAUAGGUGGGAGGCUUUGAAGUGUGGACGCCAGUCUGCAUGGAGCCGGCCUUGAAAUACCACCCUUUAAUGUUUGAUGUUCUAACGUGGACCCGUGAUCCGGGUUGCGGACAGUGUCUGGUGGGUAGUUUGACUGGGGCGGUCUCCUCCUAAAGAGUAACGGAGGAGCACGAAGGUUGGCUAAUCCUGGUCGGACAUCAGGAGGUUAGUGCAAUGGCAUAAGCCAGCUUGACUGCGAGCGUGACGGCGCGAGCAGGUGCGAAAGCAGGUCAUAGUGAUCCGGUGGUUCUGAAUGGAAGGGCCAUCGCUCAACGGAUAAAAGGUACUCCGGGGAUAACAGGCUGAUACCGCCCAAGAGUUCAUAUCGACGGCGGUGUUUGGCACCUCGAUGUCGGCUCAUCACAUCCUGGGGCUGAAGUAGGUCCCAAGGGUAUGGCUGUUCGCCAUUUAAAGUGGUACGCGAGCUGGGUUUAGAACGUCGUGAGACAGUUCGGUCCCUAUCUGCCGUGGGCGCUGGAGAACUGAGGGGGGCUGCUCCUAGUACGAGAGGACCGGAGUGGACGCAUCACUGGUGUUCGGGUUGUCAUGCCAAUGGCACUGCCCGGUAGCUAAAUGCGGAAGAGAUAAGUGCUGAAAGCAUCUAAGCACGAAACUUGCCCCGAGAUGAGUUCUCCCUGACCCUUUAAGGGUCCUGAAGGAACGUUGAAGACGACGACGUUGAUAGGCCGGGUGUGUAAGCGCAGCGAUGCGUUGAGCUAACCGGUACUAAUGAAC
Molecule: ribosomal RNA, 1757 nt
Filed under: Shigella sonnei
Lineage: Bacteria; Pseudomonadati; Pseudomonadota; Gammaproteobacteria; Enterobacterales; Enterobacteriaceae
Description: partial 23S ribosomal RNA
Rfam family: Bacterial large subunit ribosomal RNA
Source: RNAcentral